AGUGAACGCUGGCGGUAGGCCUAACACAUGCAAGUCGAACGGCAGCACAGUAAGAGCUUGCUCUUACGGGUGGCGAGUGGCGGACGGGUGAGGAAUACAUCGGAAUCUACUUUUUCGUGGGGGAUAACGUAGGGAAACUUACGCUAAUACCGCAUACGACCUACGGGUGAAAGCAGGGGAUCUUCGGACCUUGCGCGAUUGAAUGAGCCGAUGUCGGAUUAGCUAGUUGGCGGGGUAAAGGCCCACCAAGGCGACGAUCCGUAGCUGGUCUGAGAGGAUGAUCAGCCACACUGGAACUGAGACAAGGUCCAGACUCCUACGGGAGGCAGCAGUGGGGAAUAUUGGACAAUGGGCGCAAGCCUGAUCCAGCCAUACCGCGUGGGUGAAGAAGGCCUUCGGGUUGUAAAGCCCUUUUGUUGGGAAAGAAAAGCAGCAGGUUAAUACCCCGCUGUUCUGACGGUACCCAAAGAAUAAGCACCGGCUAACUUCGU
RNAcentral lists this ribosomal RNA (491 nucleotides) under uncultured bacterium. RNAcentral's name for it is "partial 16S ribosomal RNA". It matches the Rfam family "Bacterial small subunit ribosomal RNA", at positions 29 to 506 of the family's 1533-position model. The record is from RNAcentral.